This 403-nucleotide unclassified non-coding RNA is filed under the name soil metagenome. RNAcentral's name for it is "partial contains 5.8S ribosomal RNA, internal transcribed spacer 2, and large subunit ribosomal RNA". The stretch from base 1 to 120 matches the Rfam family "5.8S ribosomal RNA", at positions 35 to 154 of the family's 154-position model. The record is from RNAcentral.
GAUGAAGAACGUAGCGAAAUGCGAUAAGUAAUGUGAAUUGCAGAAUUCAGUGAAUCAUCGAAUCUUUGAACGCACCUUGCGCCCUUUGGACUUCUGAAGGGCAUGCCUGUUUGAGUAUCAUGAACACCUCAACUCCCUAUGGUCUUCCAUGAUGAGCUUGGACUUUGGGGGUUUUGCUGGCCUACAGUCAGCUCCUCUAAAAUAAAUCAGCUUACCGGUGUUUGGUGGGUAUCAUGGGUGUGAUAACUAUCUACGCUCGUGGUUUUCCACCAGGUAACCUUCAGCAGUGGAGGUUCACUGGAGCUCAUAGAUGUCUCUCCUCAGCGAGGACAGCCCUUUGAAUGUUUGAUCUCAAAUCAGGUAGGACUACCCGCUGAACUUAAGCAUAUCAAUAAGCGGAGGA